Molecule: ribosomal RNA, 236 nt
Filed under: Clostridioides difficile
Lineage: Bacteria; Bacillati; Bacillota; Clostridia; Peptostreptococcales; Peptostreptococcaceae
Description: partial 23S ribosomal RNA
Rfam family: Bacterial large subunit ribosomal RNA
Source: RNAcentral
UCGAGGUUAAAGGUACCCGUACCGCAAACCGACACAGGUGGGUGAGGAGAGUAUCCUAAGGCCAGCGAGAGAACUGUUGUUAAGGAACUCGGCAAAAUGACCCCGUAACUUAGGGAUAAGGGGUGCCGCCAUCAGGUGGCCGCAGAGAAUAGGCCCAAGCGACUGUUUACCAAAAACAUAGGUUUCUGCUAAGUCGCAAGACGAUGUAUAGGAGCUGACGCCUGCCCGGUGCUGGA